UUCCACAGUAACACUUCCUCACUCUCAAUCA
RNAcentral lists this non-coding RNA (31 nucleotides) under Macaca fascicularis (crab-eating macaque). Lineage: Eukaryota; Metazoa; Chordata; Mammalia; Primates; Cercopithecidae. RNAcentral also lists the same sequence under 1 other name. The record is from RNAcentral.